This 123-nucleotide ribosomal RNA is filed under the name Acinetobacter apis. The record is from RNAcentral. Lineage: Bacteria; Pseudomonadati; Pseudomonadota; Gammaproteobacteria; Moraxellales; Moraxellaceae.
GCUGGCGACUAUAGCAAGAGUGAACCACCUGAUCCCUUCCCGAACUCAGAAGUGAAACCUCUUUGCGCUGAUGGUAGUGUGGGAUUACCCAUGUGAGAGUAAGUCAUCGCCAGCAUCUUAUUC